UGAGAGAACCCUGGUUAAGGAACUCGGCAAAUUGACACCGUAACUUCGGGAGAAGGUGUGCCGCUGGCGGUUAGUGACUUCGCGUCACGAAGCUGUCGGCGGUCGCAGUGAAAUGGCGGUUGUGACUGUUUACUAAAAACACAGGACUCUGCGAAGUCGUAAGACGACGUAUAGGGUCUGAUGCCUGCCCGGUGCUGGAAGGUUAAGGGGAUAUGUCAGCGCAAGCGAAGCAUUGAACCGAAGCCCCAGUAAACGGCGGCCGUAACAAUAACGGUCCUAAGGUAGCGAAAUUCCUUGUCGGGUAAGUUCCGACCUGCACGAGGGCAUAACAACAUCCGCACUGUCUCGACCAGGGACUCAGCGAAAUUACAUUGGGGGUGAAGAUGCCCUCUACCCGCGGAAAGACGGAAAGACCCCAUGAACCUUUACUGCAACUUGGCAGUGAUUUUCGGGUUGUUCUGCGUAGGAUAGGUGGGAGGCUUUGAAGCCGGGCUUCCGGGUUCGGCAGAGCCAACGUUGAAAUACCACCCUGAAUAAUCUGGAAAUCUAACCUGCGCCCAUGAUCUGGGCGAGGGACACUGCCUGGUGGGCAGUUUGACUGGGGCGGUCGCCUCCUAAAUUGUAACGGAGGCGUGCGACGGUUCCCUCAGGCUGAUUGGAAACCAGCCGUAGAGUGCAAACGCAUAAGGGAGCUUUACUGCGAGACUGACAAGUCGAACAGUUGCGAAAGCAGGUGUUAGUGAUCCGGUGGUACCACAUGGAAGGGCCAUCGCUCAUCGGAUAAAAGGUACUCUGGGGAUAACAGGCUGAUCGCGCCUGAGAGUUCACAUCGGCGGCGCGGUUUGGCACCUCGAUGUCGGCUCAUCGCAUCCUGGGGCUGGAGCAGGUCCCAAGGGUUUGGCUGUUCGCCAAUUAAAGCGGUACGCGAGCUGGGUUUAAAACGUCGUGAGACAGUUUGGUCCCUAUCUUCCGUGGGCGCAGGACACUUGAGAGGAGCUAUCCAUAGUACGAGAGGACCUGGAUGGACGAACCUCUGGUGCUCCGGUUGUCACGCCAGUGGCAUAGCCGGGUAGCCAUGUUCGGAACAGAUAACCGCUGAAGGCAUAUAAGCGGGAAGCUGGCCUCAAGACUAGGUGUCCCUGACGCAAGUCACUAAAGGCCCCUCGAAGACUACGAGGUUGAUAGGCUCGGUGUGGAAGCGCUGCGAGGCGUGGAGCUAACGAGUACUAAUAGGCCGUGCGACUUGACCCC
Molecule: ribosomal RNA, 1251 nt
Filed under: metagenome
Description: bacterial LSU rRNA
Rfam family: Bacterial large subunit ribosomal RNA
Source: RNAcentral